Molecule: ribosomal RNA, 407 nt
Filed under: uncultured bacterium
Lineage: Bacteria
Description: partial 16S ribosomal RNA
Rfam family: Bacterial small subunit ribosomal RNA
Source: RNAcentral
AUUGAACGCUGGCGGCAGGCCUAACACAUGCAAGUCGAACGGAGUGGCGAACGGGUGAGUUAUGUCUGGGAAUCUGCAUGGUAGAGGGGGCACGCGUUCGGAAACGGAAGCUAAUAACGCAUACUAGCAGAGGAGCCUAGGUAGGAUUAGCUAGUUGGUGAGGUAAUGGCUCACCAAGGCUACGAUCCGUAACUGGUCUGAGAGGAUGAUCAGUCACACUGGAACUGAGACACGGUCCAGACUCCUACGGGAGGCAGCAGUGGGGAAUAUUGGACAAUGGGCGAAAGCCUGAUCCAGCCAUGCCGCGUGUGUGAAGAAGGUCUUCGGAUUGUAAAGCACUUUAAGUUGGGAGGCGUUACCGACAGAAUAAGCACCGGCUAACUCUGUGCCAGCAGCCGCGGUAAUUC